This is a long non-coding RNA of Myodes glareolus (Bank vole), 2026 nucleotides long. RefSeq lists it as uncharacterized. The record is from RefSeq and is a predicted model, not a curated record. Lineage: Eukaryota; Metazoa; Chordata; Mammalia; Rodentia; Cricetidae.
GAAGUUUGGGGCUUGGGUUAUUUCUCUUCAUUUCAUGCUAGCUCACUUUUAAAACCCAUGGCCACGUUUAAGUCAUGGGAGUUGAAAGUAAGGUUCCCCUCUCCCCUUGUCAAAUGAGAAGUUGGUCUGUCCAAGCCACAGGUGUUCAAAAACAGUAAGAAAAGAUCAAAACCCCCCAAAACCCUGAACUGAGCGCUUCCUCUGAGCGGUACAUGUGCUGGCCUGGCCUGCUGCUGUGUUUCCUGUUCCCUUUCUUCGCGGCUCCGCAGCUCUCCUGCCUUUCCCUCCUCCCUGGCCUCUUAGCUCCUCUUUCCCACACUUCCAGCUUCAUUUCCUGCUGGUCUCAUCUUAUCCUAUGUCAGAUGACAGGACGAUAAUCGGCUCCCCAGUUGUCAAGCCUUUAUGUGCCCGGUUUCCUCAGCUACCUCCCUCUUUGGUUAUGGAAAGUCUUCCUUUGGGGUGGUGGGAUUAGCGCAGGUGGGGCCCACUGAGAAGACUUCGGGACUCCCUGCUUUUCACCCACUGCAGUUGCAGGCUUCAGGAGGCGUGGAUUUGUGAUGUCUUCUAAGGUGUUCUGAGCGCUUGUUCUUCGGCCAAGUUUUGAUGGUACCCGAGGGAGGAAACUUUCCACGGACCAAGAGCACGUAUAGCGUGAGGACUCCCGCAAGGCUGCCCAGCACGCGGGCCCUUUUCUAGUCACGACUGAAGUGGUUAUGGAAAGCGUUCCCUGGGAUCGAUCUCGGAAUUUCAGUGUCCUGGGUUUUCUUCACAGACUGUGGGAUGAAGUGGUGUGCUGACGGAGUCUAAAUCUGGAGGAUCAGUGUGAACAUUUCCCAGGGUCUUUUUUUUUUGUUGCUGUUUAAAAGUGUGUAUUAAGGACUUUCAGGGAACUUCAACUAAAAGAAAAAUCAUGAUUAUCAUGAUUAUAUCACAACUCAAAUACAAUCAGGGAACUUCAAGCCUCUUGGAGGUUCUCCACGUCACUCUCCAGAUGUGAGAUGGAGCCCUUCCCCCGCAAGGUGGGCAUGUAGGAAGCAGCAAGAUCCUUGAGCCAAAAAUCUAUGUAGUCUGUUGUCAGAGCUCAGAGACUCGACUGCCUGGACAUCUUUGUACCUCUGAAACAUGGAUCUCAAAUUCACCACCCCCACCCAGUUGGCAGCCAUCUUCCCUGCAGAGCAUGGCAGGCAGAAAGGUUGAGUGGAUCUCAACUUCUCUGGUUCGCGAAGAUGCUUAGAUACAGUCAAGCCACAAUGGCUUGAAGACCUGUCGCUUGUGUGGGGGUCCUGUCAGACUUUCAUGGUCCAGAUUUCUACACAGCUGCUUUCAAGUAUUUCCCUGCUAACUGUGUUACUGUGAGGUGUUGGAGAGCUAAGGGGAGAGGCGCUGAGUCAGCGCUCUUGACAAAGGCAUCCCGCGGAGUCUGGCAUAGCCUUGACCCCAUGUUCCAGGUCCCCAUCCUGUUCCUGUUGGCAUCUUCUGGGCCAAGCUUGUGUCACAGGGCUCCUGAAAACCUCCACAUAGCAUCCCUUGGUCCUUUCCAUCAUGUUCUGCUCCUGACAUGUAGCAUUUCCCCUAGGAGGUGACAAGAAGCCAGGUCCCCAGGGACAGCACAAAAGGCCAGAGAGGAGCUGUUCUAAAGAUGCCCACCCUGGCACCCCACACCCAUCAGUGGUGCCCGGGGAGAAGGGUGAACAGAUAAGCCCAUGGAGUAGCCAGCACCACAUUUUCCCACCUGACUCACUUCCUUAGCCCCCACUUUUCUCAGAGAGCAGCUAGGGUGAGGCAGGGAGAUAAUUAGGGGAGAGGAAGGAUGGGGGAGUACUUAGUCUCAGGAAGGUCAGGUUCAGCCCGAUAUUUGCAACACAGAACUAAUAUUUUUCUUCUACUAAAGAGUGAGAGAAGUAAUGAUCUGAAAGCCUCACUUUCCUCAGUGUCCCUGCUUCUCUCCUUCACUUCUCCCUCCCCCAAUCCCUGCCUCUCUUUUCCUCUCUUCCCUCCCUCUCUCUCCCCCUUCCCUCCCUUCCUC